This 495-nucleotide ribosomal RNA is filed under the name uncultured bacterium. RNAcentral's name for it is "partial 16S ribosomal RNA". It matches the Rfam family "Bacterial small subunit ribosomal RNA", at positions 29 to 506 of the family's 1533-position model. The record is from RNAcentral.
AUGAACGCUGGCGGCGUGCCUAAUCCAUGCAAGUCGAGCGAACAGACGAGGAGCUUGCUCCUCUGACGUUAGCGGCGGACGGGUGAGUAACACGUGGAUAACCUACCUAUAAGACUGGGAUAACUUCGGGAAACCGGAGCUAAUACCGGAUAAUAUAUUGAACCGCAUGGUUCAAUAGUGAAAGACGGUUUUGCUGUCACUUAUAGAUGGAUCCGCGCCGCAUUAGCUAGUUGGUAAGGUAACGGCUUACCAAGGCAACGAUGCGUAGCCGACCUGAGAGGGUGAUCGGCCACACUGGAACUGAGACACGGUCCAGACUCCUACGGGAGGCAGCAGUAGGGAAUCUUCCGCAGUGGGCGAAAGCCUGACGGAGCAACGCCGCGUGAGUGAUGAAGGUCUUCGGAUCGUAAAACUCUGUUAUUAGGGAAGAACAAAUGUGUAAGUAACUAUGCACGUCUUGACGGUACCUAAUCAGAAAGCCACGGCUAACUACGU